This 1064-nucleotide long non-coding RNA is filed under the name Numida meleagris (helmeted guineafowl). Its description in RNAcentral is "lncRNA (ENSNMEG00000011707.1)". The record is from RNAcentral. Lineage: Eukaryota; Metazoa; Chordata; Aves; Galliformes; Numididae.
UGUCCUUCCUUUUAUUAUUAUAAUUUUUUUCUCAGACCCAGAUUUCAUUACAGGUGAUUAUGCAAGAAAAAGCCUCAAGGCUGUUUUGUAUGUGGAAUGUUUGUGGCAUUUGCAGUCUCUCUUGCUUCUGUAUUUCUUCAGAAGCAGGUGAAAAAGCUAGAUUGGACGAUAAGAGAAUAGUAAAAACCUUACUUUUCUGUAUUGAAAGCACAACACCAUCCAGUGACAGCUGAAGUAAUGAAUCAAUGUGAUUUACAUACACAGGUCAGCGGAGGACACCAGCACACAGCUGAAAACAUCCCCUAAAUCUACACCUUCCUGUACUACUCCCAUUCCAGCCAAAUAUGUGCACAUUCCUGCUCUAUAUCCUUUGAGCAGCUAUGGCCAGGAGGUGAGGGGGUCAUGCCUCCCAUCGUGGGGGGCUGGCAGUCCCAGGAGGGAAGGAGCUGGGCAGGGGUAGCUGCUCCCCUGUGUCCUCUGCGCUCUCAAGAGCCGGCAGCAGGAAGCAGCCAGGAUCAGUCCCAGCCUGGAGCUGUGACACACAGAGAGCUGACUGGAUGCCAUCUGCAUAUAUUUUUUUGGCAGCAACCCGGGAUUUAUAUCACUACGACGUGUUAUAUCCUUGGUGUGUUCCAGUCCAUUAAGCACCUCAUCAAAUACUUUAAGAAUAUUUUUUGUAGCCUGCUCAAUAGCUAGAUGAUGCUUUCUCUGGCAGUCUGCUGCUCAACCUUAGUGAGCAAGGACCUUUUUUUCCCCCCAAAUAUAAGGUAAGCUCCUUGCCUCUCAGGUUUGAAAACAAAUAGAAAAGCCCCCCCUGCUCUCACUCUGCAGUUCAUUCUGUAUGUACUGCAAGGAAGGCUGCACCAUGCCCCCCAAAAGCUGGUGGGAUGCCUGCUGGGACAUAGAAUUGUAGAAUCAUAGAAUCCCUAGAGUUGGAAGGGACCUUUAAAGGUCCUCUAGACCAACUCCCCUGUAAUGAACAGGGAUAUGCACAGCUAAAUUAGGUUGCCCAGGGACUGAUCCAGCCUUGCCUUGAAAGUCUCCAGGGACGGGGCAUCAACCAC